CGCAUGAAGUCGGAAUUGCUAGUAAUCGCGGAUCAGCAUGCCGCGGUGAAUACGUUCCCGGGCCUUGUACACACCGCCCGUCACACCAUGGGAGCCGGUAAUACCCGAAGUCAGUAGUCCAACCUCGUGAGGACGCUGCCGAAGGUAGGAUUGGCGACUGGGGUGAAGUCGUAACAAGGUAGC
RNAcentral lists this ribosomal RNA (183 nucleotides) under uncultured bacterium. RNAcentral describes it as "partial 16S ribosomal RNA". It matches the Rfam family "Bacterial small subunit ribosomal RNA", at positions 1317 to 1500 of the family's 1533-position model. The record is from RNAcentral.